Molecule: ribosomal RNA, 549 nt
Filed under: Triticum aestivum (bread wheat)
Lineage: Eukaryota; Viridiplantae; Streptophyta; Magnoliopsida; Poales; Poaceae
Description: partial small subunit ribosomal RNA
Source: RNAcentral
AUGUUGCAGGAGGAUGUGGGUAUUGAUGAAGAUGUGAACCAUCGAAUCAAAGCCGGAUGGAUGAAGUGGCGCCAAGCUUCUGGCAUUCUCUGUGACAAGAGAGUGCCACAAAAGCUAAAAGGCAAGUUCUACAGGACGGUGGUUCGACCCGCAAUGUUGUAUGGCGCGGAGUGUUGGCCGACUAAAAGGCGACAUGUUCAACAGUUAGGUGUGGCGGAGAUGCGUAUGUUGAGAUGGAUGUGUGGCCACACGAGGAAGGAUCGAGUCCGGAAUGAUGAUAUACGAGAUAGAGUUGGGGUAGCACCAAUUGAGGAGAAGCUUGUCCAACAUCGUUUGAGAUGGUUUGGGCAUAUUCAACGCAGGCCUCCAGAAGCUCCAGUGCAUAGCGGACGGCUAAAGCGUGCGGAGAAUGUCAAGAUAGGGCGGGGUCGACCGAUUUUGACAUGGGAGGAGUCCGUUAAGAGAGACCUAAAGGAUUGGAGUAUCGACAAAGAGCUAGCUAUGGACAGGGGUGCGUGGAAGCUUGCUAUCCAUGUGCCAGAGCCAUGA